AACGAACGCUGGCGGCAGGCUUAACACAUGCAAGUCGAACGAGAUCUUCGGAUCUAGUGGCAGACGGGUGAGGAACACGUGGGAACAUCCCUUUCAGUUCGGAAUAACGUUGGGAAACUAACGCUAAUACCGGAUACGUCCUUCGGGAGAAAGAUUUAUCGCUGAAAGAUUGGCCCGCGUCUGAUUAGCUAGUUGGUGAGGUAAUGGCUCACCAAGGCUACGAUCAGUAGCGGAUCUGAGAGGAUGAUCAGCCACAUUGGGACUGAGACACGGCCCAAAAUCCUACGGGAGGCAGCAGUAGGGAAUUUUCCAUAAUGGGCUGAAGCCUGAUGGAGCAACGCCGCGUGCAGGAUGAAGGCCUUCGGGUCGUAAACUGCUUUUAUAUGUGACGAAUAUGACGGUAGCAUAUGAAUAAGGAUCGGCUAACUCCGUGCCAGCCGCCGCAGUAA
This 449-nucleotide ribosomal RNA is filed under the name uncultured bacterium. Its description in RNAcentral is "partial 16S ribosomal RNA". It matches the Rfam family "Bacterial small subunit ribosomal RNA", at positions 29 to 523 of the family's 1533-position model. The record is from RNAcentral.